Molecule: long non-coding RNA, 743 nt
Organism: Setaria italica (foxtail millet)
Lineage: Eukaryota; Viridiplantae; Streptophyta; Magnoliopsida; Poales; Poaceae
Exons: 2
Source: RefSeq, a predicted model, not a curated record
CCAAUACUGGCCCCCUCUCUCCUGAAAACCCCAAUCACCCUCUUAGCCUCUUCCAUGCCCAGCCCUCCGUCUCCCCGCCUGGUGGCCUUCCAUUCCACCCCUCUGCCGGAUUUUUCCCUCCCCCUCCCAGAUCUCGCUCGCUUGCUCUCCUUGUUGCCUCUCCCUUCCCCCCUCCGCUCGACAUCACUUGCAUGGAGCCGCUUAUGGAAGCAGUGAGGAGUGGCGGUAGGGCAAGGAGCGGUGGUGGCCCGUGGGGACGGAGGCGGAGGAGCACGGCGUGCGCUGGAUCUAGUGGUAGUGGCUUUUCUUCGGCGUGAAUCAGAAGAUGGAGCUGCCAGGUGGUGGGUUGUCAACUCGUCACUGAAAACCUUGGAGCAGAUGAGUUCAAAGAGCGUGCAGCAGUGGAAGGGCCUGCAUGUUAUUGAUGAAUGAUGAAGCCGAGUGUCGUCGAUUGGCAGGUGCGGUCGUACGUGUGGCUCAGACCCAAGACGGAGUAAUGAGAUGGUGAGGUCAGGGUCCCAGCUUGACGGGCGCGACACACGAGGUCAACCGAAGUGAAGAGCAAGCGUGAGGUCGUAAGUAAUUCUCAAACAGGCAGCCGGCUGUUGGCUGGUCAGUUGGCUGGUCAGUUCAGACUUUCGGAAUUAAGCUAUUGGAUAAGCUUUGCAGAAUAUGGCCGUUGUAAAGGAUAAAAAAAAGGGACCAAUUGUUCAAUGCGCUUGCACGUUUGAUUCCUUUGCUUA